UUAAGCGACUAAGCGUACACGGUGGAUGCCCUGGCAGUCAGAGGCGAUGAAGGACGUGCUAAUCUGCGAUAAGCGCCGGUAAGGUGAUAUGAACCGUUAUAACCGGCGAUUUCCGAAUGGGGAAACCCAGUGUGAUUCGUCACACUAUCAUUAACUGAAUCCAUAGGUUAAUGAGGCGAACCGGGGGAACUGAAACAUCUAAGUACCCCGAGGAAAAGAAAUCAACCGAGAUUCCCCCAGUAGCGGCGAGCGAACGGGGAGGAGCCCAGAGCCUGAAUCAGCAUGUGUGUUAGUGGAAGCGUCUGGAAAGGUGCGCGAUACAGGGUGACAGCCCCGUACACAAAAGCGCAUGUGCUGUGAGCUCGAUGAGUAGGGCGGGACACGUGGUAUCCUGUCUGAAUAUGGGGGGACCAUCCUCCAAGGCUAAAUACUCCUGACUGACCGAUAGUGAACCAGUACCGUGAGGGAAAGGCGAAAAGAACCCCGGCGAGGGGAGUGAAAAAGAACCUGAAACCGUGUACGUACAAGCAGUGGGAGCACAGGUUUACCUGUGUGACUGCGUACCUUUUGUAUAAUGGGUCAGCGACUUAUAUUCUGUAGCAAGGUUAACCGAAUAGGGGAGCCGGAGGGAAACCGAGUCUUAAUUGGGCGUUAAGUUGCAGGGUAUAGACCCGAAACCCGGUGAUCUAGCCAUGGGCAGGUUGAAGGUUGGGUAACACUAACUGGAGGACCGAACCGACUAAUGUUGAAAAAUUAGCGGAUGACCUGUGGCUGGGGGUGAAAGGCCAAUCAAACCGGGAGAUAGCUGGUUCUCCCCGAAAGCUAUUUAGGUAGCGCCUCGUGAAUUCAUCUCCGGGGGUAGAGCACUGUUUCGGCUAGGGGGCCAUCCCGGCUUACCAACCCGAUGCAAACUGCGAAUACCGGAGAAUGUUAUCACGGGAGACACACGGCGGGUGCUAACGUCCGUCGUGAAGAGGGAAACAACCCAGACCGCCAGCUAAGGUCCCAAAGUCAUGGUUAAGUGGGAAACGAUGUGGGAAGGCCCAGACAGCCAGGAUGUUGGCUUAGAAGCAGCCAUCAUUUAAAGAAAGCGUAAUAGCUCACUGGUCGAGUCGGCCUGCGCGGAAGAUGUAACGGGGCUAAACCAUGCACCGAAGCUGCGGCAGCGAACGUAUCACCCAAGACAACUUUACGGAGUUGACGAUUGACGGAGCGAAGCGACGUCAAAGCGUUCAUUAAAGUCGAGUUGGCUUAGGAUACGUUCGUUGGGUAGGGGAGCGUUCUGUAAGCCUGUGAAGGUGUGUCGUGAGGCAUGCUGGAGGUAUCAGAAGUGCGAAUGCUGACAUAAGUAACGAUAAAGCGGGUGAAAAGCCCGCUCGCCGGAAGACCAAGGGUUCCUGUCCAACGUUAAUCGGGGCAGGGUGAGUCGACCCCUAAGGCGAGGCCGAAAGGCGUAGUCGAUGGGAAACGGGUUAAUAUUCCCGUACUUGGUGUUACUGCGAAGGGGGGACGGAGAAGGCUAUGUUGGCCGGGCGACGGUUGUCCCGGUUUAAGCGUGUAGGUGUGUGUUCCAGGUAAAUCCGGUUCACUUUAACACUGAGGCGUGACGACGAGGCACUACGGUGCUGAAGCAACAAAUGCCCUGCUUCCAGGAAAAGCCUCUAAGCAUCAGGUAACACGAAAUCGUACCCCAAACCGACACAGGUGGUCAGGUAGAGAAUACCAAGGCGCUUGAGAGAACUCGGGUGAAGGAACUAGGCAAAAUGGUGCCGUAACUUCGGGAGAAGGCACGCUGACACGUAGGUGAAGUGAUUUACUCAUGGAGCUGAAGUCAGUCGAAGAUACCAGCUGGCUGCAACUGUUUAUUAAAAACACAGCACUGUGCAAACACGAAAGUGGACGUAUACGGUGUGACGCCUGCCCGGUGCCGGAAGGUUAAUUGAUGGGGUCAGCGCAAGCGAAGCUCCUGAUCGAAGCCCCGGUAAACGGCGGCCGUAACUAUAACGGUCCUAAGGUAGCGAAAUUCCUUGUCGGGUAAGUUCCGACCUGCACGAAUGGCGUAAUGAUGGCCAGGCUGUCUCCACCCGAGACUCAGUGAAAUUGAACUCGCUGUGAAGAUGCAGUGUACCCGCGGCAAGACGGAAAGACCCCGUGAACCUUUACUAUAGCUUGACACUGAACAUUGAGCCUUGAUGUGUAGGAUAGGUGGGAGGCUUUGAAGUGUGGACGCCAGUCUGCAUGGAGCCGACCUUGAAAUACCACCCUUUAAUGUUUGAUGUUCUAACGUGGACCCGUAAUCCGGGUUGCGGACAGUGUCUGGUGGGUAGUUUGACUGGGGCGGUCUCCUCCUAAAGAGUAACGGAGGAGCACGAAGGUUGGCUAAUCCUGGUCGGACAUCAGGAGGUUAGUGCAAUGGCAUAAGCCAGCUUGACUGCGAGCGUGACGGCGCGAGCAGGUGCGAAAGCAGGUCAUAGUGAUCCGGUGGUUCUGAAUGGAAGGGCCAUCGCUCAACGGAUAAAAGGUACUCCGGGGAUAACAGGCUGAUACCGCCCAAGAGUUCAUAUCGACGGCGGUGUUUGGCACCUCGAUGUCGGCUCAUCACAUCCUGGGGCUGAAGUAGGUCCCAAGGGUAUGGCUGUUCGCCAUUUAAAGUGGUACGCGAGCUGGGUUUAGAACGUCGUGAGACAGUUCGGUCCCUAUCUGCCGUGGGCGCUGGAGAACUGAGGGGGGCUGCUCCUAGUACGAGAGGACCGGAGUGGACGCAUCACUGGUGUUCGGGUUGUCAUGCCAAUGGCACUGCCCGGUAGCUAAAUGCGGAAGAGAUAAGUGCUGAAAGCAUCUAAGCACGAAACUUGCCCCGAGAUGAGUUCUCCCUGAGACUUAGAGUCUCCUGAAGGAACGUUGAAGACGACGACGUUGAUAGGCCGGGUGUGUAAGCGCAGCGAUGCGUUGAGCUAACCGGUACUAAUGAACCGUGAGGCUUAACCU
RNAcentral lists this ribosomal RNA (2988 nucleotides) under Salmonella enterica subsp. enterica serovar 4,[5],12:i:-. Its description in RNAcentral is "23S ribosomal RNA". It matches the Rfam family "Bacterial large subunit ribosomal RNA". Lineage: Bacteria; Pseudomonadati; Pseudomonadota; Gammaproteobacteria; Enterobacterales; Enterobacteriaceae. The record is from RNAcentral.